ACCUGGUUGGCUCAGUUGGUUAAGCAUCUGACUUUGGCUCAGGUCAUGAUCUCACAGCUCAUGGGUUCAAGCCCCGUGUCGGGUU
Molecule: transfer RNA, 85 nt
Filed under: Felis catus (domestic cat)
Lineage: Eukaryota; Metazoa; Chordata; Mammalia; Carnivora; Felidae
Rfam family: tRNA
About the family: Transfer RNA (tRNA) molecules are approximately 80 nucleotides in length. Their secondary structure includes four short double-helical elements and three loops (D, anti-codon, and T loops).
Source: Rfam by way of RNAcentral